GGUAUUCCGGGGGGCAUGCCUGUCCGAGCGUCAUU
RNAcentral lists this ribosomal RNA (35 nucleotides) under Aspergillus fumigatus. RNAcentral describes it as "partial 5.8S ribosomal RNA". Lineage: Eukaryota; Fungi; Ascomycota; Eurotiomycetes; Eurotiales; Aspergillaceae. The record is from RNAcentral.